RNAcentral lists this ribosomal RNA (257 nucleotides) under uncultured Leptotrichia sp. RNAcentral describes it as "partial 16S ribosomal RNA". It matches the Rfam family "Bacterial small subunit ribosomal RNA", at positions 97 to 355 of the family's 1533-position model. Lineage: Bacteria; Fusobacteriati; Fusobacteriota; Fusobacteriia; Fusobacteriales; Leptotrichiaceae. The record is from RNAcentral.
GGCGGACGGGUGAGUAACGCGUAAGAACUUGCCCUUUAGACUGGGAUAACAGAGGGAAACUUCUGAUAAUACUGGAUAAGUUAGUAUAUCGCAUGAUAUGCAAAAUGAAAGCUACGGCACUAAAGGAGAGCUUUGCGUCCUAUUAGCUAGUUGGUAAGGUAAGAGCUUACCAAGGCGAUGAUAGGUAGCCGGCCUGAGAGGGUGGACGGCCACAAGGGGACUGAGAUACGGCCCUUACUCCUACGGGAGGCAGCAGU